GACGAACGCUGGCGGCGUGCUUAACACAUGCAAGUCGAACGGACAGACAGAGAGCUUGCUCUCUUGAAGUUAGUGGCGAACGGGUGAGUAACGCGUAAUCAACCUGCCCUUCAGAGGGGGAUAACAACGGGAAACCGUUGCUAAUACCGCGUACGAUUCAUAGGCGGCAUCGCUUGUGAAUGAAAGGUGGCCUCUAUAUAUAAGCUAUCGCUGAAGGAGGGGAUUGCGUCUGAUUAGCUAGUUGGAGGGGUAACGGCCCACCAAGGCAAUGAUCAGUAGCCGGUCUGAGAGGAUGAACGGCCACACCGGGACUGAGACACGGCCCGGACUCCUACGGGAGGCAGCAGUGGGGAAUAUUGGACAAUGGGGGCAACCCUGAUCCAGCCAUGCCGCGUGUGUGAAGAAGGCCUUUUGGUUGUAAAGCACUUUAAGCAGUGAAGAAGACUCUAUGGUUAAUACCCAUAGACGAUGACAUUAGCUGCAGAAUAAGCACCGGCUAACUCUGUGCCAGCAGCCGCGGUAAUACAGAGGGUGCAAGCGUUAAUCGGAAUUACUGGGCGUAAAGCGAGCGUAGUGGCUUGAUAAGUCAGAUGUGAAGUCCCCGGGCUUAACCUGGGAACUGCAUCUGAUACUGUUAGGCUAGAGUAGGUGAGAGGGAGGUAGAAUUUCAGGUGUAGCGGUGAAAUGCGUAGAGAUCUGAAGGAAUACCGAUGGCGAAGGCAGCCUCCUGGCAUCAUACUGACACUGAGGUUCGAAAGCGUGGGUAGCAAACAGGAUUAGAUACCCUGGUAGUCCACGCCGUAAACGAUGUCUACUAGUCGUUGGGGAACUUGAUUCCUUAGUGACGCAGCUAACGCAAUAAGUAGACCGCCUGGGGAGUACGGCCGCAAGGUUAAAACUCAAAUGAAUUGACGGGGGCCCGCACAAGCGGUGGAGCAUGUGGUUUAAUUCGAUGCAACGCGAAGAACCUUACCUGGUCUUGACAUAUCUAGAAUCCUGCAGAGAUGCGGGAGUGCCUUCGGGAAUUAGAAUACAGGUGCUGCAUGGCUGUCGUCAGCUCGUGUCGUGAGAUGUUGGGUUAAGUCCCGCAACGAGCGCAACCCUUUUCCUUAGUUACCAGCGGUUUGGCCGGGGACUCUAAGGAUACUGCCAGUGACAAACUGGAGGAAGGCGGGGACGACGUCAAGUCAUCAUGGCCCUUACGACCAGGGCUACACACGUGCUACAAUGGUAGGUACAGAGGGCAGCUACACAGCGAUGUGAUGCGAAUCUCAAAAAGCCUAUCGUAGUCCAGAUUGGAGUCUGCAACUCGACUCCAUGAAGUCGGAAUCGCUAGUAAUCGCGGAUCAGAAUGCCGCGGUGAAUACGUUCCCGGGCCU
Molecule: ribosomal RNA, 1379 nt
Filed under: uncultured bacterium
Lineage: Bacteria
Description: bacterial SSU rRNA
Rfam family: Bacterial small subunit ribosomal RNA
Source: RNAcentral